This 253-nucleotide ribosomal RNA is filed under the name uncultured bacterium. RNAcentral's name for it is "partial 16S ribosomal RNA". It matches the Rfam family "Bacterial small subunit ribosomal RNA", at positions 524 to 776 of the family's 1533-position model. The record is from RNAcentral.
UACAGAGGUCUCAAGCGUUGUUCGGAUUUAUUGGGCGUAAAGAGCUCGUAGGCGGCUUGUUGCGUCGACCGUGAAAACCCGGGGCUCAACUUCGGGCUUGCGGUCGAUACGGGCGGGCUAGAGUUCGGUAGGGGAGACUGGAAUUCCUGGUGUAGCGGUGAAAUGCGCAGAUAUCAGGAGGAACACCGGUGGCGAAGGCGGGUCUCUGGGCCGAUACUGACGCUGAGGAGCGAAAGCGUGGGGAGCGAACAGG